Cyanistes caeruleus (blue tit) is the source of this 805-nucleotide long non-coding RNA. The record is from Ensembl. NCBI's taxonomy places the organism in Eukaryota, Metazoa, Chordata, Aves, Passeriformes, Paridae.
CCCAGGUCAUGGUAGGAGAUCGUAGGACAGCAGAGCAGCAGAGAAGGAAACUGGCGGGAAAAACAGCGGAAAAACCCCUCAAGAUCAGAACGAGGAAGACAGAAAAUCUUGGAAGCAAAGAGGAAGGAAAAAAAACCCAACCAAACCCCUGUAAUCAGCAGGAAAUUCAGGAGAGUUUCAGUUCUCAGAGAGCAGCAAAGAGGCAUCACCCUUAUUUUGUGGGGGAAUUUUGAGCUUGUCUUCUGGCAGCUGUGAGUGUUUGAGAGAUCCCUGUAAUUUUGAUAUGUUUAGUCAUAUGCUUUGGCACUUGAAAGCUUUCACAGAAUGGGUUGGGGUGGAAAGGAUUUCGGGGUUAUCCUUUCACUGUUCCAGGGUGCUCCAAGCCCCAUCCAGCCUGGCUUGGGACCCUUCCAGCUGCUCUGGGAAUUCCACCCCAGGGCCUCCCCAUCCUCACAGGGAAGAAUUUCUUCGCUUUGCCUCACUUGGACUCACUUUUUGAACGUGUCCUGGGCCGGGCAGAGCACGAAACAGAGUCCAGCACAAAACUCCUCUUUUUCAGCUGCUCUCAGGGCUGAGAAACCCUGGAUAACAUCAGAUAAUGCUCCCAGGGCCGCUUGCCAGGAAAACAGCGAUCCCAAAAGCCGGGAAAAAACUUAAACUGCACAAAACCCCCGUGCUCUGAGGAGUGAGAGGAGGGAGAACUUGUAAAAUCACACAGCGACGUGCUCUGAGGGAAAAGAGUUGGAGGCAAAGCUGCUCAAAAAAAAAAAAUAAAAAAAUUAAUAAUAAUUUUAGAUGUCCUUUU